Peromyscus eremicus (cactus mouse) is the source of this 1226-nucleotide long non-coding RNA. RefSeq lists it as uncharacterized. NCBI's taxonomy places the organism in Eukaryota, Metazoa, Chordata, Mammalia, Rodentia, Cricetidae. The transcript is spliced from 3 exons. The record is from RefSeq and is a predicted model, not a curated record.
GAAGCAAUAUUCAAAACAAGAGAUAGAUCGGCACUGAAAGUAGAUGACAGCUUAAUGAGAUGGGGAAAUAAAGCUUAUACGUUUUCUGUAAUUCUCAUGCGCGUGUGCACAUCUCAGAGAGACCCAAGUGCAGAUCCACUGUCAAAUGUGUCUCCCUUGCCCACUGGAGACUUUAUCAUAAAAAUAGAAUGUAGUUUAUAGGCUGUAAAGAAGCAGCGACAUUUUCAACAGCCAGUUGGUGAAAAUGAAAGCCAGGAUUGCCUGGGGUGAUCUUGGACACCACACCAUGGGCAUCCACUGCUGGCUGCUUAUGGCAGUUAAGAAGAAUGUAAACCCAACAUCCAGCUGCAAAUGCAGAUUCAAGUUCAUCCACCCACUGAAUAGUCUGUGGAUGUGGCUUGUAAACUAAGUCUGAUUCCAGGCAUAGACAGUUGUUCUACCAAGCUUUACCAUAAACAACCAUAAUCCAGAUACUGGUAAAAUUCCUUGCACAGGGACGUCAGCAACAUCUAUACCUCUUAAGGUCCCCAAAGACAAACUGAGGCAUGAUUCCACCCAAAUUCAUUCUGAGGAACCAGAGACUUCACUGGGCUUCCUUACAGAACAUACUGAGGGGAUACUUACAGAAGUGUGGGCAUUCCUCCCUCGACAGGCCACACCUGAAAAACUCUUACCCAACAGGCAUGAGUUUCCCCAUAAGUGCAUAGAUAGAGUGCCCCUCCACCACUCUUCCUUGAACUGUGUACACAUGUCAUUAAGACGAGUCACAUAAAACAGGUGGUUUAGAGACGCAAGAUACUCAGAUGAGGGUCUCAUGACCGCACCCCUCCAUGAGGGGUAUGAACAGUCAACAAGUCCAGAUGGAAUUCUCCUUUUGUAAAAUGACAUAGCUGAACUCCUCAACAUGCAGUGGCUUGGCUCAAAGGACAGUCUAUCACAAUACCUGGCCACAGAUAGCCCUGUGAAUGUGGCUAGAGAUUGACCACUGUGUACCAGAGUCUUGCAUCUCACAAACCAGCCCUAACAAUCAACAUAGGAAAGGAGAAGUGUAUGGACAGUGUGCAUCAGCCACAGGGGACCAGCUACCAAGCAACACGCAUGUCUUUGUAAAGAUAUCUUCAAAAUCAAGAAGAAACUGCCCACAAAGCGAUCUACAAUUUGCCUCUCCAUCCUUAGCACUGGGUUGAAACAGAGCUGCAGAGAUGCUUUGGUGAGUAAGCAUGGGU